RNAcentral lists this transfer RNA (74 nucleotides) under Chloroflexota bacterium. RNAcentral describes it as "Chloroflexi bacterium (mine drainage metagenome) tRNA-Arg". It matches the Rfam family "tRNA". Rfam says of the family: Transfer RNA (tRNA) molecules are approximately 80 nucleotides in length. Their secondary structure includes four short double-helical elements and three loops (D, anti-codon, and T loops). Lineage: Bacteria; Bacillati; Chloroflexota. The record is from RNAcentral. RNAcentral also lists the same sequence under 1 other name.
GUCCCAAUAGCUCAGCUGGAUAGAGCGUUUGCUUGCGGAGCAACAGGCCGGGAGUUCGAAUCUCUCUUGGGACA